AGCGUACCCGAAAGAAAAGAGGGAGUUCAAAGAGAGCUGGAAGAUGGAGGCAAACAGGAAGAAUGAAAUGGAAGUGUCAAGUUUUUAAACAGAAAACAAAGAAGCCUAUAACCUAAAAACCCACAAGCCUAAAGGAUCUAAGCAAAAAUAGCUGGACUGAGAAGGAGCUGGAUGGUUGCUGUUAACGUACAGAACUUGUGAGACUGCUACUUUUGUUAGGAUCUCACCUUCAGAAGUGGGAAGCAAGCUGUGGCAGCCAGGUUUGGAAACGUGGACUGAUAUGGCUCCAUAUGGAUUUGCCAGUUCACUGCAUCAUUGCACGUUUAUAACACAGCAUUUCUUCAGCAGCUGUCACUAUGUCACAGUGCCA
This 370-nucleotide long non-coding RNA is filed under the name Phasianus colchicus (ring-necked pheasant). Its description in RNAcentral is "lncRNA (ENSPCLG00000021329.1)". Lineage: Eukaryota; Metazoa; Chordata; Aves; Galliformes; Phasianidae. The record is from RNAcentral.